GUAGGUGGCAAGCGUUGUCCGGAAUUAUUGGGCGUAAAGCGCGCGCAGGUGGUUCUUUAAGUCUGAUGUGAAAGCCCCCGGGCUCAACCGGGGAGGGUCAUUGGAAACUGGGGAACUUGAGUGCAGGAGAGGAAAGUGGAAUUCCACGUGUAGCGGUGAAAUGCGUAGAUAUGUGGAGGAACACCAGUGGCGAAGGCGACUCUCUGGCCUGUAACUGACACUGAGGCGCGAAAGCGUGGGGAGCAAACAGGAUUAGAUACCCUGGUAGUCCGCGCCGUAAACGAUGAGUGCUAAGUGUUGGGGGGUUUCCGCCCCUCAGUGCUGCAGCUAACGCAUUAAGCACUCCGCCUGGGGAGUACGGUCGCAAGACUG
Molecule: ribosomal RNA, 372 nt
Filed under: uncultured organism
Description: partial 16S ribosomal RNA
Rfam family: Bacterial small subunit ribosomal RNA
Source: RNAcentral